GACGAGCCACACGAACGUUAUUCGGAAUUACUGGGCUUAAAGGGUGCGUAGGCGGUGCGGAAAGUUGGGUGUGAAAUCCCUCGGCUCAACCGAGGAACUGCGCCCAAAACUACCGUACUCGAGGAAGAUAGAGGUGAGCGGAACUUACGGUGGAGCGGUGAAAUGCGUUGAUAUCGUAAGGAACACCCGUGGCGAAAGCGGCUCACUGGGUCUUCUCUGACGCUGAUGCGCGAAAGCUAGGGGAGCAAACGGG
RNAcentral lists this ribosomal RNA (253 nucleotides) under uncultured bacterium. RNAcentral's name for it is "partial 16S ribosomal RNA". It matches the Rfam family "Bacterial small subunit ribosomal RNA", at positions 524 to 776 of the family's 1533-position model. The record is from RNAcentral.